This 326-nucleotide ribosomal RNA is filed under the name uncultured eukaryote. Its description in RNAcentral is "partial 18S ribosomal RNA". It matches the Rfam family "Eukaryotic small subunit ribosomal RNA", at positions 1470 to 1796 of the family's 1831-position model. The record is from RNAcentral.
CCCUUAGAUGUUCUGGGCUGCACGCGCGCUACACUGAUGCGUUCAACGAGUGUAUAACCUUGCCCGAUAGGGUUGGGUAAUCUUUUGAACACGCAUCGUGAUGGGGAUAGAUUAUUGCAAUUAUUAAUCUUCAACGAGGAAUUCCUAGUAAUGAUGGAUCAUCAGUUCAUCGUGAUUACGUCCCUGCCCUUUGUACACACCGCCCGUCGCUCCUACCGAUUGAGCAAUCCGGUGAAUAUUUCGGACGGAGAUUCUUCGGGGCAACUCGUUAGAAUUUCUGAAAGUCAAGUUAACCUUAUUGCUUAGAGGAAGGAGAAGUCGUAACA